AGCUCCUGUGGCCUAGUGGUGAGAGUGUCUGUCUCGGAUAUGGGGGGGUUGCAGGUUCAAACCCUUGCGGAGUCA
This is a non-coding RNA of Potamilus streckersoni, 75 nucleotides long. The record is from the annotation of a GenBank genome assembly. Lineage: Eukaryota; Metazoa; Mollusca; Bivalvia; Unionida; Unionidae.